AUGAGCCACGACAGGCUGGAUCGCGCCCCUCAGUUCGAACAUGGUUUAGUGCAGAGACGCAGCUGCGAGUCUCGCCUCGGUGCCACUGCCGGCAGGGAGAGAAGCGCCCCGGGCCCGCCCGAGCCUGCUGGACGGUCGCGCGCUCCGACGCUGGGCUGUUUGCUGCCGAGGUACGUCUUCUUGGUGGCUGGGUGCGCCUGGGCGUCCUCCUCCGCGGAGCGGAGCGGGGAGAGCGGCGGCGGCAGCGGCACGAGACAAGCUGUGCGCGACCAAGAGCCCCAGCCAAGGCCGGGCGGCGGCGGGCGGGCGCUCCUGAGGCUCCGCAGGCUGCCUCAUCCUGGAAGCCCCUGCGGAGCGCAGCGCAGCGCAGCGCGUCCCUCCCCGCACUCUAGGGCCCAGGAGCUCCGCCUUCCCUCCCCUGCCUGCCUGCUGGCGCCUCUUGGGAGCCUCGACGGCAGAGAAGGACCUCUGAGAGCUCGCCUUCGCUCGCGGGGGCGGCUCCGCUGCCGGCGCUCUUCCGAGGGGAAGCCCCGAACCCCAGCGCGGGGCUGGGAUCCCUCCAGCAGUCAGCGAGCUUCUUCCCUCCGCGAGGAGGAGGAGGAGGGAGCAGAAAGCCCAAAGCGGCGAGGAGGAGGAGGCGGCUGCGAUCCUGGAACAGACGGGCUUGGGCCCCGAGGGAGCGGCUGCUCGGGCUUUCCCUCGCGAGGGCUACCGGCUCUGGAGGAAAGAGCCCGGCCAGAGGCUCCUGGGCACUGUUUCCGGGGGCACAGACGUGCGUGCCGUUCACCUGCUCCGAGAGCGGGGACGGGGGAUGUGUUAGCGGGGGACGCGGGGCCGGAGGGAGGGCACCCCGCCUGUCCGGGCUCAGAGCCAUCCCUUCUCUCCCGGGAAGUCCCCGCCCCGCCCGGCUCCCACAUCUGUUUUGGAAAGCAAAGCGUGCUUGGAGAAUUCGCACACGGCACCUCCCGGUGGGGAGGGGAGACCUCCUCGGGAAGCCAGAAAUCUGCCUGCCACAUGCUGAGACACUCGCGGCCAGCGGAGGCAUCGCCUUAUUUCUGGGUGGUGGGCAGGGAGAUUCUGCAAGGAGCCACCCUGCACCCGGGAAGGGGGCUCCCCCCCAGCUCCCCAUACAAGGCAGCCGGGGCUCCCCGCUCUGUCCCGAGUCAGCCCCACAGAACACAUCCUGGUCCUGGGUUUCUUUUCUCUUCCUUCGCCUCCUCCUCCUCCUCCUCCUCCUCCUCUUCUUCUCCCUUCCUCCUCCCCUUCUUCCUCCUUCCCUUCCUCCUUCUCUUCUUUCUCUCCCUUCCUCCUCCUCCUCCCCUUCCUCCUUCUCCUCCUCUUCUUCCCCCUUCCUCCUCCUCUUCUUCCUCCUCUUCCUCCCCCUCCCUUCCUCCUACCACCCCACCCCCAGAGUGA
This 1416-nucleotide long non-coding RNA is filed under the name Monodelphis domestica (gray short-tailed opossum). RNAcentral describes it as "lncRNA (ENSMODG00000044412.1)". Lineage: Eukaryota; Metazoa; Chordata; Mammalia; Didelphimorphia; Didelphidae. The record is from RNAcentral.